CGAACACGGCCGUGAAACGCCCCAGCGCCAAUGGUACUUCGUCUCAAGACGCGGGAGAGUAGGUCGCUGCCAGGU
RNAcentral lists this ribosomal RNA (75 nucleotides) under Mycoplana dimorpha. The record is from RNAcentral. Lineage: Bacteria; Pseudomonadati; Pseudomonadota; Alphaproteobacteria; Hyphomicrobiales; Rhizobiaceae.